Molecule: long non-coding RNA, 281 nt
Organism: Penaeus monodon (black tiger shrimp)
Lineage: Eukaryota; Metazoa; Arthropoda; Malacostraca; Decapoda; Penaeidae
Exons: 3
Source: RefSeq, a predicted model, not a curated record
UCCCCUCAGGUAUACCUUCUAGGACUGACAUGUCCACGGGUUUAUCUCACUCGUGCUGCGAGUCCUCUCACAGUGCAAGGGGCAGCUUGCUGCUACAGCAGCGACCCAAUGCCCAGUCCUGCAGGCAUUAGAAGAUGAUGUUGAAGCAAUGACGGAUGAUCCUGUUUUCUGGGACAUUGAUUUUACGGAAAUCCAUGGGUGACAGAAAAGGAUGGCGAGAGCAGUACUUCGUCUGGUUCUCACCAUGCUCAGACGGAUGCUCAGACUGAUAAGCACAAGAC